This 892-nucleotide ribosomal RNA is filed under the name Trichosporon sp. MSR 54. RNAcentral's name for it is "eukaryotic LSU rRNA". The stretch from base 240 to 892 matches the Rfam family "Eukaryotic large subunit ribosomal RNA", at positions 1 to 643 of the family's 3401-position model. Lineage: Eukaryota; Fungi; Basidiomycota; Tremellomycetes; Trichosporonales; Trichosporonaceae. The record is from RNAcentral.
UCGNAAUCUUGAACGCAGCCUGCGCUNUNUGGUAUUCCNGAGAGCAUGCCUGUUUCAGUGUCAUGAAAUCUCAACCNCUAGGGUUUCCUAAUGGAUUGGAUUUGGGCGUCUGCGAUUUCUGAUCGCUCGCCUUAAAAGAGUUAGCAAGUUUGACAUUAAUGUCUGGUGUAAUAAGUUUCACUGGGUCCAUUGUGUUGAAGCGUGCUUCUAAUCGUCCGCAAGGACAAUUACUUUGACUCUGGCCUGAAAUCAGGUAGGACUACCCGCUGAACUUAAGCAUAUCAAUAAGCGGAGGAAAAGAAACUAACAAGGAUUCCCCUAGUAACGGCGAGUGAAGCGGGAAGAGCUCAAAUUUGAAAUCUGGCAGUCUUCGAUUGUCCGAGUUGUAAUCUAUAGAGGCGUUUUCCGUGCCGGACCGUGUCCAAGUCUCCUGGAAAGGAGUAUCAAAGAGGGUGAUAAUCCCGUACUUAACACGACCACCGGUGCUCUGUGAUACGUCUUCUACGAGUCGAGUUGUUUGGGAAUGCAGCUCAAAAUGGGUGGUGAAUUCCAUCUAAAGCUAAAUAUUGGCGAGAGACCGAUAGCGAACAAGUACCGUGAGGGAAAGAUGAAAAGCACUUUGGAAAGAGAGUUAAACAGUACGUGAAAUUGUUGAAAGGGAAACGAUUGAAGUCAGUCGUGUUCUUUGGAUUCAGCCAGUUCUGCUGGUCUACUUCCUUGGAACGGGUCAACAUCAGUUUUGUCCGGUGGAUAAAGGUAGUAGGAAUGUGACUUCUCCGGAAGUGUUAUAGCCUAUUAUCACAUACACUGGGUGAGACUGAGGACUGCAGCUCGCCUUUAUGGCCGGCCUUCGGGCACGUUCGAGCUUAGGAUGUUGACAUAAUGGCUUAAA